GACGAACGCUGGCGGCGUGCUUAAUGAAUGCGAGUCGAGCGAGAACCGGACUGAGGAAACCUUCGGGUGGAAUCAGUCUGGGGAGAGCGGCAAACGGGUGAGUAACACGUGGGUAACCUGCCCCUCAGACGGGGAUAAUUCGCCGAAAGGCGGACUAAUACCCGAUGGUGAUGUGCCAACACAUGUUGAUACAUCUAAAGGCUCCGGUGCUGAGGGAGGGGUCCGCGGCCGAUUAGCUUGUUGGUAGGGUAACGGCCUACCAAGGCUUCGAUCGGUAGCCGGUCUGAGAGGAUGACCGGUCACACUGGGACUGAGACAUGGUCCAGACUCCUACGGGAGUUAGCAUCAGGGAAUCUUGCGCAAUGGGCGAAAGCCUGAGGGGAGCGACGCCGCGUGGGUGAUGAAGGCCUGCGGGUCGUAAAGCCCUGUCGGGAGGGAAGAAACAGCACCUUCGGGUGCUUUGACUGUACCUCCGGAGGAAGCCCCGGCUAAUUACGUGCCAGCAGCCGCGGUAAUACGUAAGGGGCCAGCGUUGUCCGGAAUUACUGGGCGUAAAGAGCACGUAGGCGGUUAGGAAAGCGAUAGGUGAAAUCCCCCGGCUCAACCGAGGAACUGCUUAUCGAACUGCCUGACUAGAGCACGGGAGAGGGCACUGGAAUUCCUGGUGUAGCGGUGGAAUGCGUAUAUAUCAGAGGAACACCGGUGGCGAAAGCUGGUGCCUGGAACGUUGCUGACGCUAAGUGCGAAAGCCAGGGGAACAAACGGGAUUAGAUACCCCGGUAGUCCUGGCCGUAAACGAUGGACACUAGGUGUUGGAGGUUCGACCCCUUCAGUGCUGUUAAGCUAACGCGUUAAGUGUCCCGCCUGGGGAGUACGGUCGCAAGGCUGAAACUCAAAGGAAUUGACGGGGGCCCGCACAAGCGGUGGAGCAUGUGGGUCAAUGGGAUGAUACGCCGAGAACCUUACCAGGGCUUGACAUGACCCUGAUCCCCUGCGAAAGCAGGUCUUCUGGGCAACCAGACAGGGCCACAGGUGGUGCAUGGUUGUCGACAGCUCGUCCCCUGAGAUGUUGGGUUAAGUCCCGCAACGAGCGCAACCCUCGCCGGAUGUUGCCAGCGGUUAGGCCGGGCACUCUUCCGGGACUGCCGGAGUAAUCCGGAGGAAGGGGGGGAUGACGUCAAAUCUGCAUGCCCCUUAUGUCCUGGGCUGCACACGUGCUACAAUGGCGAGUACAAAGGGUCGCGAAGCCGCGAGGCCCAGCUAAUCCCCAAAAACUCGUCCCAGUUCGGAUUGGAGUCUGCAACUCGACUCCAUGAAGUCGGAAUCGCUAGUAACCGUGGAUCAGCAAUGCCGCGGUGAAUACGUUCCCGGGCCUUGUACACACCGCCCGUCAAGUCACGGAAGCCGACAGCACCCCAAGUCCGCUACGGCGGCCCAAGGUGAGGUCAGUGACUGGG
Molecule: ribosomal RNA, 1457 nt
Filed under: uncultured bacterium
Lineage: Bacteria
Description: 16S ribosomal RNA
Rfam family: Bacterial small subunit ribosomal RNA
Source: RNAcentral